This 252-nucleotide ribosomal RNA is filed under the name uncultured prokaryote. Its description in RNAcentral is "partial 16S rRNA". It matches the Rfam family "Archaeal small subunit ribosomal RNA", at positions 475 to 726 of the family's 1478-position model. The record is from RNAcentral.
GCCGGCGGCUCGAGUGGUGGCCACUAUUACUGGGCUUAAAGCCUUCCUCGCCCCCCCCCCCAGUCUCUCGGCAAAUCUUCCGGCUCAACCGGAAGGCGUCUCAGGGAUACUGGCAGGCUAGGGACCGGAAGAGGUGAGAGGUACUCCAGGGGUAGGAGUGAAAUCCUGUAAUCCUUGGUGGGGCGGGUGUGGCGGAGAGGUCUCAGGGGGGGGGAUGAGGGAGGGAGGAAAGAAAGAGGGGGGAGAAAAAAG